ACCCCAGGUCAGUAGGGAUUACCGGCUGAAUUUAAGCAUAUAAAUAAUUGGAGGAGAAGAAACUUACAAGAAUUCCCCUAGUAAAGGCGAGCGAACCUAGAGCAGCCCAGCAUUAGAAUCGGACGACAUAAACCCCACCUGAAUUGUAGUCUGGAGAGGCAUCCUGGGAGGGUGAGAGCCCCGUACGGCUUGGACCCUGUCACACGAUGAGGUGCUGUCAAAGAUUCGGGUUGUUUGGGAAUGCAGCCAUCGGGCCGUAAGCUCCAUCCAAGGCUAAAUACAGGCGAGAGACCGAUAGCGAACAAGUACGGUGAAGGAAAUAUGAACAGGACUUUGAAAAGAGAGUCAAAGAGUGCUUGAAACUGUUGGGAGGGAAGCGGUUGGGGCUGCAGAAUGGCUAAUGCUGGUCCACCGCUUGGCUCGAGGGUUGGACUGUUGUUGGCUGCAUCGACAACCAAAGCCCAGGGGCCUUAUGUGCCCUUGGCAGCCGUCGUUGGUGCAGCCAGUAACUGCGUGCCACGAGGCGUCUCCUUCGGGAUGCUGCACUGCAACAGCCUGCGGGCUCCUCAUCUGACCCGUCUUUAAACACGGACCAAGGAGUCUGACAUGCGUGUGAGUUGACGGGUUUUGAAACCUGGGAUGUGUAAGGAAGCUAACGAGUGGGAGGCCCUAACGGUCCGCACCAGUGGCCGACCCUAAUCUUCUCUGAUAGAUGGUGAACUAUGCCUGAGCUGGGCGAAGCCAGAGGAAACUCUAGCGGAGGCUUGAAGCGAUACGGACGUGCAAAUCGUUCAUCUGACUUGGGUAUAGGGGCGAAAGACUAAUUGAACCAUCUAGUAGCUGGUUCCCUCCGAUGUUACCCUCAGGAUAGCUAGAGCCCAUUAUGAGUUCUAUCGGGUAAAGCCAAUGAUUAGAGGCAUCGUGGAUGCAACGCCCUUGACCUAUUCUCAAACUUUAAAUAGGUAGGAUGGCACGACUUCUUCAGUGAGCCGUGCCGCAAAAUCGGGAGGUCCAAGUGGGCCAUCUUUGGUAAGUAGAACUGACGAUGCAGGUUGAACCGGAAGCCGGGUUAUGGUGCCGAAUUGCACACUAACCUAAACCCACAAAGGCUAUUGGUCGAUUAAGCCAGCAGGACAGUGGUCAUGGAAGUCGAAAUCUGCUGACGAGUUUGUAACAAGUCACCUGCUGAAUUAACUAGCCCCGAAAAUGCAUGGCGCUAAAGCGCGUGACCCACACCCAGCCAUCUAGGCAAGUGACAUGCCUUGAUGAGUAGUAUUAGGGCGCGGCGAUCACUGCAAAACCCAGAUCGCGAGCCUGGGCAGAGCGGUCAUCGAUGCAGAUCUUGGUGGUAGUAGCAAAUAUUCAAAUGGGAACUUUGAUGGCCGAGGUGAGAAAGGUUCCAUAAACGACACUUGCACAUGGGUAAGCCCCGACAGACAGCGCGAUGACGCGCUUCACCCGAAAGGGAAUCGGGUUAAGAUUUUCUGAGCCGGGACGUUGUGAUUGACAGCAACAUUAGGAAGUCCAGAGACACCGGUCGGAGCCUAGGGAAGAGUUAUCUUUUCUACUUAACGGCCCGACAACCCUAGAAACGGUUCAGCUGGAGGUAGGGUCUAGCGGUCGGAAGAGCACCGCAUGUCGCGUGGUGUCCGGUGCGCCCCUAGCGGCCCUUGAAAAUCCGGAGGACCGAGUACCAUCCACACUCGAUCCUACUAAUAACCACAUCAGGUCUCCAUGGUGAACAACCUCUGGCCAAUGGAACAAUGUAGGCAAGGGAAGUCGGCAAAAUGGAUUCACAACUUUGGGAAAAGGAUUGGCUCUGAGGAUUGGGCUCUGGGGUCCCGGCCCCAAACCCAUCAGCUGCGGCGGCCUGCUUGAGCUGCUCACGCGGCGAGAGCGGGCCACCGCGUGCCUUUCUAGGGACGGACCAUGAUCGAAUCCCUCUAGGGCCUUCCCCGGGUGUCGAACGGUUGACUCAGAACUGGUACAGACAAGGGGAUUUUGACUGUUUAAUUAAAACAAAGCAUUGUGAUGGUCCCCGUGGAUGCUAACGCAAUGUGAUUUCUGCCCAGUACUCUGAAUGUCAAAGUGAAGAAAUUCAACUAAGCACGGGUAAACGAUAGGAGUAACUAUGACUCUCUUAAGGUAGCCAAAUGACUCGUCAUCUAAUUAGUGAUGCGCAUGAAUGGAUUAACGAGAUUCCCACCGUCCCUAUCUACUAUCCAGCGAAACGACAACCAAGUGAAUUGGCUUGGCGGAAUCAGCGGGGAAAGAAGACCUUGUUGAGCAUGACUCUAGUCCGACUUUAUGAAAUGACUUGAGAGGUGUAGGAUAAGUGGGAGCCUUCGGACGCAAGUGAAAUACCACUACUUUUAACGUUAUAUUACUUAUUUCAUGAGUUGGAAGCGGGGCAUCACCCCUUCUUUUGGCUCCAAGGCCUGCCUUGUUGGGCCGAUCCGGGCGGAAGACAUUGUCAGCUGGGGAGGUUGGCUGGGACGGCACAUCUGUCAAAAGAUAACGCAGGUGUCCUAAGAUGAGCUCAACAAGAACAGAAUUCUCGUGUGGAAAAAAAAGGUAAAAGCUCGUUUGAUUCUAAUUUCUAGUAUGAAUAUGAACCGCAAAGCGUGGCCUAUCGAUCCUUUACAAUUUCGGAGUUUGAAGCUAGAGGUGUCAGAAAAGUUACCACAGGGAUAACUGGAUUGUGGCAGCCAAGCGUUCAUAGCGACGUUGCUCUUUGAUCCUUCGAUGUCGACUCUUCCUAUCAUUGUGAAGCAGAAUUCACCAAGUGUUGGAUUGUUUACCCACCAAUAGGGAACGUGAGCUAGGUUUAGACCAUUGUGAGAUAGGUUAGUUUUACGCUACUGAUGACUGUACCGCGAUAAUAAUUCAACCUAGCACGAGAGGAACUGUUGCUGAACUGUUGCUUCACACAAUUGGUCAACGUGCUUGGUUGAAAAGACAGUGCCAUGAAGCUACCACGUGUCCACGGGCGGAUGUACGCAGAGAGCGCUGGGUGAGGCCGCACCCAUGCCAAUUUAGGAAAACUGUUAUGGUAAUCAGAAUUUUGACCGUAUCCGCACCCCCUGGCCCAAAGUGCUGCACCCAAAUCCCAGCUCGUGAGAGAAAAAGAGAGCCCACAACUGUAAAUACGAAGAGGCAAUCCAACAUCGCACAACCCACGCCCGUCUGAUUA
RNAcentral lists this ribosomal RNA (3193 nucleotides) under Oropetium thomaeum. Its description in RNAcentral is "eukaryotic LSU rRNA". It matches the Rfam family "Eukaryotic large subunit ribosomal RNA". The record is from RNAcentral. Lineage: Eukaryota; Viridiplantae; Streptophyta; Magnoliopsida; Poales; Poaceae.